UAAUUCAUCGGACGUUAUAAUUGUAAUAAACAACAACAACUACCCUGAUUGAAACUAACAACAUGUUUUGUUUUGUUGUAGAAAUAGCAGUAGGAGGCCUAGUUGGUACUAUUAUGAUCAUUAUAAUUUCUAUAAAACUCUGUAGGAAAAACCCUGAAAGGACUCCUAGGGUGGCAGGUCACGUCAACAUCAUUUAUAUUCUCUUACCAGUCAUCUCUUCUAGGAAUCCAGGGCAACGCCAUUUACUAGAACCGGAAAACACAAAAGGACAGGAUUGCUUAAAAGAAGUCUGCACAUCGAAUGGUAUUCAGGACACUCAACCACCGAUGAUUUCGUCAGAGCGUACAACGUUAUAGACUGCUGAUGUUACGACCAAAAGUGCAGUAGACCAAAACUUCUUUCAGGGCAUAUAAUUUGGCAUUUUAUUUAUUGUUUUUGUUAUCUUCUGUAGAGUAUCUGGAGUUUUUAUUUAUGACCAAAAGACCAGUGAAACAAAAAUA
This is a long non-coding RNA of Patella vulgata (common limpet), 500 nucleotides long. RefSeq lists it as uncharacterized. The record is from RefSeq and is a predicted model, not a curated record. Lineage: Eukaryota; Metazoa; Mollusca; Gastropoda; Patellidae. The transcript has 4 exons.